AGAGUUUGAUCCUGGCUCAGAACGAACGCUGGCGGCAGGCUUAACACAUGCAAGUCGAGCGCCCCGCAAGGGGAGCGGCAGACGGGUGAGUAACACGUGGGAACGUACCCUUUUCUACGGAAUAACCCAGGGAAACUUGGACUAAUACCGUAUGUGCCCUUCGGGGGAAAGAUUUAUCGGAAAAGGAUCGGCCCGCGUUGGAUUAGCUAGUUGGUGGGGUAAAGGCCUACCAAGGCGACGAUCCAUAGCUGGUCUGAGAGGAUGAUCAGCCACAUUGGGACUGAGACACGGCCCAAACUCCUACGGGAGGCAGCAGUGGGGAAUAUUGGACAAUGGGCGCAAGCCUGAUCCAGCCAUGCCGCGUGAGUGAUGAAGGCCUUAGGGUUGUAAAGCUCUUUCACCGGAGAAGAUAAUGACGGUAUCCGGAGAAGAAGCCCCGGCUAACUUCGUGCCAGCAGCCGCGGUAAUACGAAGGGGGCUAGCGUUGUUCGGAUUUACUGGGCGUAAAGCGCACGUAGGCGGAUCGAUCAGUCAGGGGUGAAAUCCCAGAG
RNAcentral lists this ribosomal RNA (551 nucleotides) under uncultured freshwater bacterium. RNAcentral describes it as "bacterial SSU rRNA". It matches the Rfam family "Bacterial small subunit ribosomal RNA", at positions 8 to 607 of the family's 1533-position model. The record is from RNAcentral.